Molecule: transfer RNA, 72 nt
Filed under: Fukomys damarensis (Damara mole-rat)
Lineage: Eukaryota; Metazoa; Chordata; Mammalia; Rodentia; Bathyergidae
Rfam family: tRNA
About the family: Transfer RNA (tRNA) molecules are approximately 80 nucleotides in length.
Source: Rfam by way of RNAcentral
CAGGGUGUAGCUCAGCAGCACAGCAUCUGACUGGAAAACACAAGGUCCUGAGUUCGAGUCCCAGUACCAAGA